GUGGGGAAUAUUGGACAAUGGGCGAAAGCCUGAUCCAGCCAUGCCGCGUGUGUGAAGAAGGUCUUCGGAUUGUAAAGCACUUUAAGUUGGGAGGAAGGGCAGUAAGUUAAUACCUUGCUGUUUUGACGUUACCGACAGAAUAAGCACCGGCUAACUUCGUGCCAGCAGCCGCGGUAAUACGAAGGGUGCAAGCGUUAAUCGGAAUUACUGGGCGUAAAGCGCGCGUAGGUGGUUCAGCAAGUUGGAGGUGAAAUCCCCGGGCUCAACCUGGGAACUGCCUCCAAAACUACUGAGCUAGAGUACGGUAGAGGGUAGUGGAAUUUCCUGUGUAGCGGUGAAAUGCGUAGAUAUAGGUAGGAACACCAGUGGCGAAGGCGACUACCUGGACUGAUACUGACACUGAGGUGCGAAAGCGUGGGGAGCAAACAGGAUUAGAAACCCGUGUAGUCC
RNAcentral lists this ribosomal RNA (450 nucleotides) under uncultured bacterium. RNAcentral describes it as "partial 16S ribosomal RNA". It matches the Rfam family "Bacterial small subunit ribosomal RNA", at positions 354 to 796 of the family's 1533-position model. The record is from RNAcentral.